This 506-nucleotide ribosomal RNA is filed under the name uncultured bacterium. RNAcentral's name for it is "partial 16S ribosomal RNA". It matches the Rfam family "Bacterial small subunit ribosomal RNA", at positions 29 to 523 of the family's 1533-position model. The record is from RNAcentral.
AGUGAACGCUGGCGGUAGGCCUAACACAUGCAAGUCGAACGGCGGCACAGAGGAGCUUGCUCCUUGGGUGGCGAGUGGCGGACGGGUGAGGAAUACAUCGGAAUCUACCCUGUCGUGGGGGAUAACGUAGGGAAACUUACGCUAAUACCGCAUACGACCUACGGGUGAAAGCAGGGGACCUUCGGGCCUUGCGCGAUUGAAUGAGCCGAUGUCGGAUUAGCUAGUUGGCGGGGUAAAGGCCCACCAAGGCGACGAUCCGUAGCUGGUCUGAGAGGAUGAUCAGCCACACUGGAACUGAGACACGGUCCAGACUCCUACGGGAGGCAGCAGUGGGGAAUAUUGGACAAUGGGCGCAAGCCUGAUCCAGCCAUACCGCGUGGGUGAAGAAGGCCUUCGGGUUGUAAAGCCCUUUUGUUGGGAAAGAAAUCCAGCUGGCUAAUACCCGGUUGGGAUGACGGUACCCAAAGAAUAAGCACCGGCUAACUUCGUGCCAGCAGCCGCCGCCG